Molecule: long non-coding RNA, 561 nt
Filed under: Cyanistes caeruleus (blue tit)
Lineage: Eukaryota; Metazoa; Chordata; Aves; Passeriformes; Paridae
Description: lncRNA (ENSCCEG00000014896.1)
Source: RNAcentral
GUUUUGCCCAAGCUAGUGUCACCAGACUUCAAGAAGAUUUGUUCUUCUCUGACUUCCCUCCUAAGGGCAAUUCUGCCAGUGAAGUUAUUGAAAUUCUAGAUGGUAUUUCAGAAUAUGAAGCUAACAUUCACAUCAUGGUUAAAAAAAAUUCCUUCCAAAAGAAUCCACAAAUCUCCAUUAUAUUUCUUCAUCAUGCAGUCAGAGAAAAUCAAAGUAGAGAGACUACCCAGGACCAGGUACUCCUAGUUUCCCUGAUCCACAUGAAACAGUAAUUACUGGUUUGUGGUCUUGGGAAACCCAGAGACUCAUGAGCAUGUGGAAAGCAUUUGAGACUCAGUGCCUUAAGCAUCCACAACUGAAAUGAAGCUCUUCAUUCUUGAAGCAUCUUCUGUGCUGCUGGGGAAUUGGGAUGUUGGGACAAACUGGACAGCAUCACUGCCCCUUCCAAUAGCUAAUACUUAGAACACAAAAUUCAGCAAGCACAAAAGAAAGUGUCAGGAAUAGUGUGCUGGAACCUCAUUCUGUUGUCUCUUUCACAAGCAACAGCACAGUUUGUGUCAG